UCAACUCAAGGCUAACCUAUUACAACCUUCCAAAACUAGGCUGCCGAGGAGUACAACAAAAGAAAGAAGGUUUCCCUAAGAACCCUUAAACUACCACUGGACACUAUGAGUCGGAGAAGGGGCGCCAUCUUCUUCUAUGUCCAUGCUGGACGCUCCUUCGUCUUCCUCAGGGUCCUCCUGAGCUUCAAGUUGCAUGUUGAGGGCAUGCAUGUCUUCAAGCUCAGCUUGGUGUUCC
This 235-nucleotide long non-coding RNA is filed under the name Setaria italica (foxtail millet). RNAcentral describes it as "long non-coding RNA (SITA_LNC002217)". Lineage: Eukaryota; Viridiplantae; Streptophyta; Magnoliopsida; Poales; Poaceae. The record is from RNAcentral.